GAGAGGAAAGAGAGAGAAAUAAUUCACUCUUCUCUCCUAGCCUCCAUUCAUCCAUUCCUCUAUUCAAGCUCUCCACUGUGACAUCCAUUCCUCCAGCAACUUUUCAUUCUCCAUCACCAUGACUCUCCAUCCGCUUCAUCUUCCCCUGCUCCAAGCUCUGCAUCAAUAACUUCUUCCUCUCGGCCCAGCCAGUCCGGUGAUCUCAGUUCCAGCAGCAUCUCAGGCCGACUGCUCCUCCUCAGCACCAGCAGCCUCAGCCUAUCUUCACGGCAGCUCCUCCUAUGCACCAGCGACAGUCCAACAGUGCAGCACCGUGAGCCUCCAGCAGCAGUCCAGCACCUGCAGAGUCCUCGGCCUCCAGUCCCAGCACUUCAUCUUCUCCUGUCCCAUCCGAACACAGCACCAUCUCCACUGUCAAAAACACUGCCCCAAAACCACACCUCUUCACAGCCUUUCCACUGUUGCCAGCAGUUCCUCUCUCAUUUUUUGACUGAAAUCAGUCCUUCCUCUAGCGCCAGGGGACUAAAAAAGGUCAGAGAAAAACAACACUGCCUAUAAUCAUUUCAAGCCUCAGUCCCCAGUUUUGGAAAACUUAUACACUCACACCAGUGCACAUCACAGCCUCCAUUGUUAGCUUAUAUGCUUAACUUCACGCCAUGGAGAAGACGUACAGUAGGGAUGAACAAGAAGAGAACGAUGGUGAAAAAGGCAAAGACCCACAAUGAGUUAGUCCCAUCACCUUUUCAUCUUGUCAAGCACUGCCUCCACUUUGUCUUGCUACUACUAUAAAAAUAAAUAAAUAAAUAAAUAAACUCUCACCACCAGCGUUGCCAAUGGAGAAAUCUUGAAAGCUUCAUGCCAUUAUAAGUUAUCGUAUCCCUCUGAAAGCAAGGCCGGAGGCCUAAAAUUACAGGGAAGAUAUGGCUCGUUUUCAAAAAAAAAGAAGGAAAAUGCAUGAAGUGAGCGUAUGUCUUUUGUUGAUUUUGAGCAGCAAGAAACAGUAAAAUUCUGGGCAAAUAUUUUCUUGUUUGUUUCGUUUUGAUUUGUCAAUAAGCAUUACUUGUAUUUGGGUUGUGUUUUUUAGACCAGGCUUUAUCGCCUUUUGAGUAAUAAAUUUUAGUCUAGGCCUUUUACUUGAGACCAUCCUUCCUUGAAUAAGUUUUUGCCUUUUGAGCUGUGUAUUUGGUUCAUGGGCCCGAGCUGAAAGCACAGCCCAUGUGGCUGGGGCUGAGCCUUUUCGAAGUUAAGGCAGUGUUAGGCCUAGUAGAAACUUUGCAGAGGCAAAAUGCUUUUUUUGUCCUUAUCCCUAGUGAAUUUUUGAGAGCUUUUUUUCAAA
Molecule: long non-coding RNA, 1336 nt
Organism: Populus nigra (black poplar)
Lineage: Eukaryota; Viridiplantae; Streptophyta; Magnoliopsida; Malpighiales; Salicaceae
Exons: 2
Source: RefSeq, a predicted model, not a curated record